GCUGGGUGUGGUGGUGCAUACCUGUAAUCCUAGCUACUCGGGAGGCUGAGGUGGGAGGAUCACUUGAGUCCAGGAGUUCAAGGCUUCAGUGAGCUAUGAUCAUGCCACUGCACUCCAGCCUGGGCAACAGAAUGAGACCCUGUCUCAA
This is an unclassified non-coding RNA of Pongo abelii (Sumatran orangutan), 148 nucleotides long. It matches the Rfam family "Metazoan signal recognition particle RNA". Rfam says of the family: The signal recognition particle (SRP) is a universally conserved ribonucleoprotein. Lineage: Eukaryota; Metazoa; Chordata; Mammalia; Primates; Hominidae. The record is from Ensembl.